ACGGCGAGUGAAGCGGGAAGAGCUCAAAUUUGAAAUCUGGCAGUCUUCGAUUGUCCGAGUUGUAAUCUAUAGAGGCGUUUUCCGUGCCGGACCGUGUCCAAGUCUCCUGGAAAGGAGUAUCAAAGAGGGUGAUAAUCCCGUACUUAACACGACCACCGGUGCUCUGUGAUACGUCUUCUACGAGUCGAGUUGUUUGGGAAUGCAGCUCAAAAUGGGUGGUGAAUUCCAUCUAAAGCUAAAUAUUGGCGAGAGACCGAUAGCGAACAAGUACCGUGAGGGAAAGAUGAAAAGCACUUUGGAAAGAGAGUUAAACAGUACGUGAAAUUGUUGAAAGGGAAACGAUUGAAGUCAGUCGUGUUCUUUGGAUUCAGCCAGUUCUGCUGGUCUACUUCCUUGGAACGGGUCAACAUCAGUUUUGUCCGGUGGAUAAAGGUAGUAGGAAUGUGACUUCUCCGGAAGUGUUAUAGCCUAUUAUCACAUACACUGGGUGAGACUGAGGACUGCAGCUCGCCUUUAUGGCCGGCCUUCGGGCACGU
RNAcentral lists this ribosomal RNA (536 nucleotides) under Trichosporon asahii. Its description in RNAcentral is "LSU rRNA". It matches the Rfam family "Eukaryotic large subunit ribosomal RNA", at positions 86 to 608 of the family's 3401-position model. Lineage: Eukaryota; Fungi; Basidiomycota; Tremellomycetes; Trichosporonales; Trichosporonaceae. The record is from RNAcentral.